AACGUAGGACACGAGCGUUAUCCGGAUUUACUGGGCGUAAAGGGCGUGCAGGCGGUUUUGUAAGUUUGUUGUGAAAGCGCCCGGCUUAACCGGGCGAGGACAUUGGAGACUGCAAGACUAGAGGCAGAUAGAGGGGUGUAGAAUUCCGGGUGUAGUGGUGAAAUGCGUAGAGAUCCGGAGGAAUACCAGAGGCGAAGGCGGCACCCUGGGUCUGACCUGACGCUGAGACGCGACAGCAUGGGGAGCGAACGGG
This 253-nucleotide ribosomal RNA is filed under the name uncultured bacterium. RNAcentral describes it as "partial 16S ribosomal RNA". It matches the Rfam family "Bacterial small subunit ribosomal RNA", at positions 524 to 776 of the family's 1533-position model. The record is from RNAcentral.